This 710-nucleotide ribosomal RNA is filed under the name Leclercia sp. SYC23. RNAcentral describes it as "partial 16S ribosomal RNA". The stretch from base 406 to 710 matches the Rfam family "Bacterial small subunit ribosomal RNA", at positions 1 to 311 of the family's 1533-position model. Lineage: Bacteria; Pseudomonadati; Pseudomonadota; Gammaproteobacteria; Enterobacterales; Enterobacteriaceae. The record is from RNAcentral.
CCUCUGUAUUGCAGGGGGGGGCGUUUUCGCCAGCGAUAUUCCUCCAUAUCUAUACAUAUUUCUGCGCCACGCGGAAAUGUAUCCCCCCCCUCUACAAGUCUAUCGCAUCAGAGUUGAGAACGCAGUUCCCAGGGUGACCGGGGAUUUCACAUAUCAGUUGUGACACCCCGCGUGUGUGCUCUCUCCCCCGAAAAAGUAAGAUUAACGAUUACCCUCUGUGUUUUCCCGCGGCUGGGGGCGCAGCCUUCCCCGGCGUCUUUUGUGAGAAUAAUAAAACUCAGUGGGGUGAUAAACCACAAUGCUUUCCUUCUCGGAAAAAGUUCUUCACACCCAGGGGGCUUUUUUUAUACACGCGGCGGGGAUGUAAGAGGCGGGCGCCCAGCGCGCAAUCUCCACACCCACCCCUCCUCAGAGAGUUAGAUCAUGGCUCUGUCAGAGUGUGGGCGGUCAUUCUCUCAGCACCAAUAGAUAUUGUCGCACAGGUGACACAUUUUUGGGUGACGAGCGGCGGACGGGUGAGUAAUGUCUGGGAAAAGCCUGAUGGAGGGGGAUCUCUUCGGUAAACGGUAGCUAAUCCCGCAUAACGUCGCAAGACCAAAGAGUCGGACCUUCGGGCCUCAGGCCAUCAGAUGUGACCAGAUGGGAUUAGCUAGUAGGUGGGGUAACACUCACCUAGGCGACCGCUCCUAGCGGUCGAGAGGACCCCCCAG